RNAcentral lists this non-coding RNA (69 nucleotides) under Rhodococcus sp. (in: high G+C Gram-positive bacteria). The record is from RNAcentral. Lineage: Bacteria; Bacillati; Actinomycetota; Actinomycetes; Mycobacteriales; Nocardiaceae.
GGGAAGCCGGUGGGAAUCCGGCGCGGUCGCGCCACCGUGACCGGGCAUGUCUCGCCCGGAAGUCGGACC